This 504-nucleotide ribosomal RNA is filed under the name uncultured bacterium. RNAcentral describes it as "partial 16S ribosomal RNA". It matches the Rfam family "Bacterial small subunit ribosomal RNA", at positions 28 to 507 of the family's 1533-position model. The record is from RNAcentral.
GACGAACGCUGGCGGCGUGCUUAACACAUGCAAGUCGAACGGUGAAGCGCUUGCCUUUUUGGUGGGUGUGGAUGAGUGGCGAACGGGUGAGUAACACGUGAGUAACCUGCCCUCUUCUUCUGGAUAACCUCAUGAAAGUGGGGCUAAUACGGGGUAUUCAGGGUCUGUCGCAUGGCGGGUUUGGGAAAGAUUGCGCCUUUGGGUGAUUUCGGUGGGGGAUGGGGUCGCGGCCUAUCAGCUUGUUGGUGGGGUGAUGGCCUUCCAAGGCGGUGACGGGUAGCCGGACUGCGAGGGUGGACGGCCAGACUGGGAGUGUGACCCGGCCCAGAGGGCUGCGGGCGGCAGCAGUGGGGAAUCUGGAACAAUGGGCGGAAGCCUGAUGCCGCGACGCGGAGUGAGGGAUGGAGGCCGUCGGGUUGGGAACCUCUUUCGUAAGGGAAGCAGGCCUGCUCAUGUGUGGGUGGGUUGACGGUAGCUGGAUAAGAAGCGCCGGCUAACUACGUG